UACGGAGGAUGCGAGCGUUAUCCGGAUUUAUUGGGUUUAAAGGGUGCGCAGGCGGAAUGUCAAGUCAGCGGUAAAAGCCCGGGGCUCAACCCCGGCGAGCCGUUGAAACUGUCGGACUAGAGACGGCGAGAAGUACGCGGAAUGCGCGGUGUAGCGGUGAAAUGCUUAGAUAUCGCGCAGAACCCCGAUUGCGAAGGCAGCGUACCGGCUCUACACUGACGCUGAGGCACGAAAGCGUGGGUAGCGAACAGG
This 252-nucleotide ribosomal RNA is filed under the name uncultured Bacteroidales bacterium. Its description in RNAcentral is "partial 16S ribosomal RNA". It matches the Rfam family "Bacterial small subunit ribosomal RNA", at positions 524 to 776 of the family's 1533-position model. Lineage: Bacteria; Pseudomonadati; Bacteroidota; Bacteroidia; Bacteroidales. The record is from RNAcentral.